This 253-nucleotide ribosomal RNA is filed under the name uncultured bacterium. RNAcentral's name for it is "partial 16S ribosomal RNA". It matches the Rfam family "Bacterial small subunit ribosomal RNA", at positions 524 to 776 of the family's 1533-position model. The record is from RNAcentral.
UACGUAGGGCGCAAGCGUUGUCCGGAAUUAUUGGGCGUAAAGAGCUCGUAGGCGGCUUGUCACGUCGGGUGUGAAAGCCCGGGGCUUAACCCCGGGUCUGCAUUCGAUACGGGCUGGCUAGAGUGUGGUAGGGGAGAUCGGAAUUCCUGGUGUAGCGGUGAAAUGCGCAGAUAUCAGGAGGAACACCGGUGGCGAAGGCGGAUCUCUGGGCCAUUACUGACGCUGAGGAGCGAAAGCGUGGGUAGCAAACAGG